CUCCCCCAUCCUUACUGCAGGCACAGUAAAAGCUGUAUUGUGUACUGUCAUUGUCCUGGGGGUAGAUAAAAAGCCUUUUUCCCUCCCCGGUGGGAAUUAAUGUGAUAUUCUCUGGGGCCUUUAGAACAGGCUGACAAC
Molecule: small nucleolar RNA, 138 nt
Organism: Rhincodon typus (whale shark)
Lineage: Eukaryota; Metazoa; Chordata; Chondrichthyes; Orectolobiformes; Rhincodontidae
Product: small nucleolar RNA SNORA49
Exons: 1
Source: RefSeq, a predicted model, not a curated record